This 500-nucleotide ribosomal RNA is filed under the name uncultured bacterium. RNAcentral describes it as "partial 16S ribosomal RNA". It matches the Rfam family "Bacterial small subunit ribosomal RNA", at positions 30 to 523 of the family's 1533-position model. The record is from RNAcentral.
AUUGAACGCUGGCGGAAUGCUUUACACAUGCAAGUCGAACGGCAGCACGGACUUCGGUCCGGUGGCGAGUGGCGAACGGGUGAGUAAUGUAUCGGAACGUGCCCAGGCGUGGGGGAUAACGUAGUGAAAAUUACGCUAAUACCGCAUACGAUCUAUGGAUGAAAGCGGGUGAUCGCAAGACCUCGCGCGCUUGGAGCGGCCGAUAUCAGAUUAGGUAGUUGGUGGGGUAAAGGCCCACCAAGCCAACGAUCUGUAGCUGGUCUGAGAGGACGACCAGCCACACUGGAACUGAGACACGGUCCAGACUCCUACGGGAGGCAGCAGUGGGGAAUUUUGGACAAUGGGCGAAAGCCUGAUCCAGCCAUUCCGCGUGCAGGAUGAAGGCCCUCGGGUUGUAAACUGCUUUUGUACAGAACGAAAAGGUUUCUACUAAUACUAGGAGCUCAUGACGGUACUGUAAGAAUAAGCACCGGCUAACUACGUGCCAGCCGCCGCAGUAA